Molecule: long non-coding RNA, 1568 nt
Organism: Felis catus (domestic cat)
Lineage: Eukaryota; Metazoa; Chordata; Mammalia; Carnivora; Felidae
Exons: 4
Source: RefSeq, a predicted model, not a curated record
CUACUAUUAAGUAACUUGGUGUAUUAAUGUGAACAUAGGCCAGAAAUCCAAAUUUUAGACAUUUCCACACUUGGGAGAACAGUUAGAGCACCAACAACUGUGUGAAGAGAGAGGGAAAAAUGCAAGAGUGAAGAAUACAAUUGAAAACCUCACUUGAAGGGAGCACGGGCAUCAGAAUGAAGGAUGAAAAAAAAAAACACGAUUGAGAGAAAGGUAUCCUCACAUUUGUCCACAAAAUGUUGGCUUUUUAACUCUAUCAUCUUCUUGCCUUCAUUUUUCUUCUAAUUUACCUAGGUGGGGAGUGGAGGAGGUAAUGGACUGAUACCAGGAAGACAGCUGAAGCAUUUAAAGGUGUCUAAGACAUGAUUUCAUUGAUUUUUAGAUCAUGAAAUUCACUCUUCCACAGAAGCUACUUAACAUCCUAAAUAUAUUAGUACACAGUAAUGAAAACAUAUGGUAAUUCCCAAAGAGCAAAGUUAAUGGACUCUGUCCCAUUUGUUAAAACAGCAGACGGCAAAGAAAUCUGUGUGUCUUGUUUCAGAGAAUGUAAAUGCAGCUGCUGAAAGGACUGUUUUCCCAUAAAGCUAAGGUGGAAAAUAAAUGUGAGGAGGACGCUUUGAGGAUAUAUUAGAUACUUGAAGCAGCCCGAAAACUUAUCAAGUACUUUUAACGUCCAUGGCUGGUCUAGCUGUCUGGGUAGACUCUUCACUGCUCAUUGCACAUCCCUCUCAACAUUACAUCCUAAAUGAAAUGAACAACAGUGUCGUUUGCUCAUAGGCUAAGAAGUUGCUCCUCUUCUCUGGUAUAAUCAAUCCCUCACUCCAGGCAAGUAUAAUUACUGAUUUUUUGUUAUUGUUCCAUUUUAUUUUGAGUUCUCUGUAAGUAUGAACAGAGUCAAAAGGGUUGCCUUCCCUUUCUCCAUUCCCUAUUAGUAGAGGCUUCUGCCAACGAAAGGUUGCUAAUAGUUUAGCAGUUAUAUAUGAGUAAGCUUUGAAAUUCGGUAUCAUUCACUAAGCUGAUUAUUAUGCUAUCUAAGUCAUUGGUUAAGUGUACGACAUGACAGGGCUAGAAAAAUAUUAAGGCUUAUUCUAUUGUUACACCAACUUGUCAAUUAAUGGCUUUUUGGUAAUAGCUUGGCCUACUAAUUAAGAGCAAAGGACUUGGGAUCAAAACUGGAUUUAAAUUCUGGACCUGUCAUUUGCCAGGUAGGUGACCUUGACCGAUUUCCUCAUCUGUAAAAUGAGGAUUAUGACAGUGCCAUUUUCAUAGCACAGGUCAGAAGGCAAGACAUAUGAGGCAUUUAGCCUGCUGCUUGCCACUGUAAAAGUCAUUGUUUACUAUUAUUAAUGGUAACAUAAUUUACAUUAACAUAAAAAUAUCAGUUCCAUAAUUUACUAUAUAUAUUAUCACAAUUUUAACUGGUCCUAUAAGUCUCAGUUUUAUUCACAAGGUUAUCAUUUAACACAUGGUUUAGCGUCUUGUUGAAAUUCAAAUAUAUUACUGUACGUAACACAUUAAAUACAUAUAUACCCCAGGAAUGUACAAAUGUGUAUAUGAAUUUUUCCUAC